GGUAGGAUGGCUGAGUUUUUAAGCGGUGGAUUGUAGCCCCAUAAACAGAGGUUCGAGCCCUUCUUCUUACCA
This 72-nucleotide transfer RNA is filed under the name Sebastes vulpes. RNAcentral's name for it is "tRNA-Tyr". It matches the Rfam family "tRNA". Rfam says of the family: Transfer RNA (tRNA) molecules are approximately 80 nucleotides in length. RNAcentral also lists the same sequence under 1 other name. The record is from RNAcentral. Lineage: Eukaryota; Metazoa; Chordata; Actinopteri; Perciformes; Sebastidae.